UCUUUGACGGUAAAAAUGCUGUAAUCAGCGGGCUACAUCAAAAAUUACCCUAAUUACGCCUGCAUUUAUGAGAAUGGGAGAGAGAAGAAGGAAAAAAAACCUCGUGGAUAAAACCCAUAAAUUGUCCCAAAUAUCUCGUCUGUAUUGAACAGGACUGCAGCUGGAUGCUUUGUUCAGAAUCGAUCCCGUGGCGUGUGGCAUCCACGGGUUUUCACAGUGAGAGUGGGCAAAGGAGGGACACAAAAAACUGUCAAUACUCCAGUAAUUGAGCUGGAAAAUGGCAAGGUUUACUGGACCAGACUCAGCUGGGAUAAAUAUUAACAGACGGACUGUGGGCAGCGCCUUCCCAUUGGUCAUCCAACCCAACGUCAUCACUACUACUGCCUUCCCCGAGACUUGCACGACUCCCCGGUGUGUCACCCCCGGGCCACUCUGCUCACCUGCCUGGGCCCUUGGUGUCCGCGUGAAUCAUGGUCACAGUGAUCCAACGUCUUCACACGACUGUACUGCCACUGGACGCAUCUUUGGAAAUUUGCUGAAACUACAAAAUCUCUCCUGUUUGCUUAUAAGGCGAAUGUCAC
Scleropages formosus (Asian bonytongue) is the source of this 581-nucleotide long non-coding RNA. RefSeq lists it as uncharacterized. Lineage: Eukaryota; Metazoa; Chordata; Actinopteri; Osteoglossiformes; Osteoglossidae. The transcript has 3 exons. The record is from RefSeq and is a predicted model, not a curated record.